Haliotis rufescens (red abalone) is the source of this 299-nucleotide long non-coding RNA. RefSeq lists it as uncharacterized. The transcript has 3 exons. The record is from RefSeq and is a predicted model, not a curated record. Lineage: Eukaryota; Metazoa; Mollusca; Gastropoda; Lepetellida; Haliotidae.
UCGCAUCUUCACACUUUAAAUGAGAAGUAACGCGCCCGCUUGUCGGUAGUAUCAGCCAGACAGCCUUGUGGAACACUAGCUGUACUUCUCCUCCUCCAGAAUCAUGAUAGCUUUCCUUGUUCUAAUCGGAUCUGUAGCAGUUUAUGGAAAACACUACUCCUGCAACCACACCAACCAUGACCAGCUGCUCCCGAGCCAGGUGAUCAGCAACGUCAUCGCCGACAUUGACACAGAUGGCGACGGCAUUGUGGAGCCAACCGAGGUCCAGGCGGAGUUCGUCGCCAGAUAUGACGUUGACA